AUAUUGGUCAAUGGAUGGAAGUCUGAACCAGCCAUGCCGCGUGCAGGAAGACGGCCUUCUGGGUUGUAAACUGCUUUUGCCAGGGGCUAAAAAGCUCAUGCGUGAGAAAUUGAAAGUACCUGGUGAGUAAGCCACGGCUAACUACGUGCCAGCAGCCGCGGUAAUACGUAGGUGGCAAGCGUUGUCCGGAUUUACUGGGCGUAAAGGGCGUGCAGGUGGCUUGCUAAGUGGUGCGUGAAAGCGCUCGGCUCAACCGGGCGAGGGCGUGCCAAACUGGCAGACUAGAGACAGGCAGAGGAAAGUGGAAUUCGGGGUGUAGUGGUGAAAUGCGUAGAGAUCCCGAGGAACUCCUGUGGCGAAGGCGACUUUCUGGGCCUGCUUUGACACUCAGACGCGAAAGCAUGGGGAGCGAAC
Molecule: ribosomal RNA, 414 nt
Filed under: uncultured bacterium
Lineage: Bacteria
Description: bacterial SSU rRNA
Rfam family: Bacterial small subunit ribosomal RNA
Source: RNAcentral